GACGAACGCUGGCGGCGUGCUUAACACAUGCAAGUCGAACGGAAAGGCCCUGCUUUUGUGGGGUGCUCGAGUGGCGAACGGGUGAGUAACACGUGAGUAACCUGCCCUUGACUUUGGGAUAACUUCAGGAAACUGGGGCUAAUACCGGAUAGGAGCUCCUGCUGCAUGGUGGGGGUUGGAAAGUUUCGGCGGUUGGGGAUGGACUCGCGGCUUAUCAGCUUGUUGGUGGGGUAGUGGCUUACCAAGGCUUUGACGGGUAGCCGGCCUGGGAGGGUGACCGGUCACAUUGGGACUGGGAUACGGCCCAGACUCCUACGGGAGGCAGCAGGGGGGAAUAUUGCACAAUGGGUGGAAGCCUGAUGCAGCAACGCCGUGUGCGGGAUGACGGCCUUCGGGUUGUAAACCGCUUUCGCUCAUGACGAAGCUUUGUGUGACGGUAGUGGGUAAAGAAGCACCGGCUAACUACGUG
RNAcentral lists this ribosomal RNA (469 nucleotides) under uncultured bacterium. RNAcentral's name for it is "partial 16S ribosomal RNA". It matches the Rfam family "Bacterial small subunit ribosomal RNA", at positions 28 to 507 of the family's 1533-position model. The record is from RNAcentral.